GCGCCCGUAGCUCAACUGGAUAGAGCGCUUGGCUACGGACCAAGAGGUUGGGGGUUCGAGUCCCUCCGGGCGCGCCG
Molecule: transfer RNA, 77 nt
Filed under: bacterium
Lineage: Bacteria
Description: tRNA-Arg
Rfam family: tRNA
About the family: Transfer RNA (tRNA) molecules are approximately 80 nucleotides in length. Their secondary structure includes four short double-helical elements and three loops (D, anti-codon, and T loops).
Source: RNAcentral